UGCAGGUUAGAGAAGUCCCCUACCUGUGGAGAAGGGACAAGCCAGACUGUGUGGUGUGGAUGGGUACCUGUGUUGCAGCCAUCUUGCUGGGGCUGGACCUUGGACUGGCUGCAGGUCUCGGAAUAGAGCUGAUCAGUGUUGUCCUCAGGACUCAGUUUCCUCGCUGCAGUGUGCUGGCCAACAUUAAAGGAACUGAUAUCUACAAAGACAGAAAGGAUUAUAUCGAUGUA
Molecule: non-coding RNA, 230 nt
Organism: Plectropomus leopardus (leopard coralgrouper)
Lineage: Eukaryota; Metazoa; Chordata; Actinopteri; Perciformes; Serranidae
Source: RefSeq, a predicted model, not a curated record